UCAUCUUGGCAGGGUGCAAUGUGGUGUUCGGGAGGGUCCAUUCGUGCCUUGAGCUCUGGUGUCCAAGUCCCCCUGACCGGGGCCAUCGCCCAUUGAGGGUGCAAGGCCUGUUGGGCAGGGCUGUGUCUCCGAUCUCGGCGCGUUGGGUCCCUUCCUUGGAGUCGGGUUGCUUGAGAGUGCAGCCCAAAGUGGGUGGUAAACUCCACCUAAGGCUAAAUACUUUCCACGAGACCGAUAGCAAACAAGUACCGUGAGGGAAAGUUGCAAAGAACUUUGAAGAGAGAGUUCAAGAGUGCGUGAAACCGUUCGGAGGUAAACGGGUGGGAGCGCGAAGGUCGAACGGACGGGGAGGGAUUCAACUUGGCGUGGCGGCUGGCCGAGCCGGUUUGUGUCUGGGCGUGCGGGCCUCCCUUCGCGGGGAGAGCCGGCCGUCCCGCGUUCUGCUCCGGUCGUAGUCUGCCGUGCCUUGUGCAUUUCCCUAUUCCCCCUCUCCUAGUAGGACGCCGCGACCGGCUGUCGAGGGGAGCCCACGAGAUGGUUGGGGCAUUUGCGCGGACGAGUAAGGGAUUAGUUCUCUGCGUCCGGUCUGUCUGUCUCCUUCCGCGCGCGGGUCGCUCCCUCUGGCCGAGGAAAUGUGCAAGCUGGGCCCUUGUGGU
RNAcentral lists this ribosomal RNA (656 nucleotides) under Sigmoria stenoloba. RNAcentral's name for it is "partial large subunit ribosomal RNA". It matches the Rfam family "Eukaryotic large subunit ribosomal RNA", at positions 125 to 541 of the family's 3401-position model. Lineage: Eukaryota; Metazoa; Arthropoda; Diplopoda; Polydesmida; Xystodesmidae. The record is from RNAcentral.